Molecule: ribosomal RNA, 358 nt
Filed under: uncultured bacterium
Lineage: Bacteria
Description: bacterial SSU rRNA
Rfam family: Bacterial small subunit ribosomal RNA
Source: RNAcentral
AACGAACGCUGGCGGCAGGCCUAACACAUGCAAGUCGAACGCUCGUAGCAAUACGAGAGUGGCAGACGGGUGAGUAACACGUGGGAACCUUCCUUUGGUUCGGAAUAGCUCAGGGAAACUUGAGGUAAUACCGGGAUAAGCCCUUACGGGGAAAGAUUUAUCGCCAUAGGAUGGGCCCGCGUCGGAUUAGCUAGUUGGUGAGGUAACGGCUCACCAAGGCGACGAUCCGUAGCUGGUCUGAGAGGAUGAUCAGCCACACUGGGACUGAGACACGGCCCAGACUCCUACGGGAGGCAGCAGUGGGGAAUAUUGGACAAUGGGCGCAAGCCUGAUCCAGCCAUGCCGCGUGAGUGACGAA